AUUGAACGCUGGCGGCAGGCCUAACACAUGCAAGUCGAGCGAGCGGCGGACGGGUGAGUAAUGUCUGGGAAACUGCCUGCUGGAGGGGGGUAACUACUGGAAACGCUAGCUAAUACCGCAUAUCACCAGAUGUGCCCAGAUGGGAUUAGCUAGUAGGUGGGGUAAUGGCUCACCGAGGCGACGAUCCCCAGCUGGUCUGCGAGGAUGACCAGCCAUACUGGAACUGAGACACGGUCCAGACUCCUACGGGAGGCAGAAGUGGGGAAUAUUGCACGAUGGGCGCAAGCCUGAUGCAGCCAUGCCGCGUGUAUGAAGAAGGCCUUCGGGUUGUAAAGUACUUUCAGCGGGGAGGCGUUACCCGCAGAAGAAGCACCGGCUAACUCCGUGCCAGCAGCCGCGGUAAUAC
Molecule: ribosomal RNA, 406 nt
Filed under: uncultured bacterium
Lineage: Bacteria
Description: partial 16S ribosomal RNA
Rfam family: Bacterial small subunit ribosomal RNA
Source: RNAcentral